GUCUUUUUGAGUUAUUUUUAAAGUCUGACCUGCCCACUGAAUUUAUUUUAAAUGGCCGCAGUAUUCUAACUGUGCAAAGGUAGCAUAAUCAUUAGUCUUUUAAUUGAAGGCUGGUAUGAACGGUUGGACGAGGUAUAAGCUGUUUCAUAUAAAUUUAUAGUAGAAUUUUAUAUUUUAGUCAAAAAGCUAAAAUGUAAUUAAAAGACGAGAAGACCCUAUAAAUCUUUAUAUUUUAUAUAAUUUAAAUUUUUUGGAUUUAUUUUAUUUUUAUUAUAUAAAAUAUUUUGUUGGGGUGAUGUUAAAAUUUAAUGAACUUUUAAUUGAAUUUAAAUCAUUAAUUUAUGAAUUAUUGAUCCAUUAGUAGUGAUUAUAAGAUUAAGUUACUUUAGGGAUAACAGCGUAAUUUUUUUGGAGAGUUCAUAUCGAUAAAAAAGUUUGCGACCUCGAUGUUGGAUUAAGAUAUAAUUUUAGGUGUAGCCGCUUAAAUGUUAAGUCUGUUCGACUUUUAAAUUCUU
This 515-nucleotide ribosomal RNA is filed under the name Dacus setilatens. Its description in RNAcentral is "partial 16S ribosomal RNA". The stretch from base 391 to 515 matches the Rfam family "Bacterial large subunit ribosomal RNA", at positions 2473 to 2597 of the family's 2925-position model. The record is from RNAcentral. Lineage: Eukaryota; Metazoa; Arthropoda; Insecta; Diptera; Tephritidae.